RNAcentral lists this ribosomal RNA (222 nucleotides) under Triticum aestivum (bread wheat). RNAcentral's name for it is "partial small subunit ribosomal RNA". Lineage: Eukaryota; Viridiplantae; Streptophyta; Magnoliopsida; Poales; Poaceae. The record is from RNAcentral.
AUGAGUUCAAAGGUCACCUUCUUCCAACGGGUGAAGUUCACUGUAGGUAAAGGGAUCACUACUAGAUUCUGGGAGGAUACAUGGCUAGGGGAGGUGCCUCUGGCUCUACAAUAUCCAUCACUUUAUAAUAUUGUGCAACGAAAGGAAGAUUAUGUCGCCAUAAUAUUAAAUUCGGUACCGCUUAAUAUCCAAAUUAGGAGAUCCCUAGUGGGGGAACGUUGA